CUAGGUUCCACAUACGCCUCUCAUUAGGCCAGUGGCUGAAGAAAUUGGACGAGUCUGUAACAUUCAGGAAGGACGCUGUCUCUUCAGGGCUGAAGGGUUCAGGGCGGAAUUGAAAUCAGAGCCACUUUCCUUAACACGAUGAGCAAACGUUUGAUGUUCGGCCUUCUCUUUUUCACUCUAUAUCGAGGUGCGGUGCUGGGUGACUCGAUCCAGCCCAGGGAACCCCAGAUGUCAGGAGCUGAAGACGGCUCAGUGACCCUCAGCUGUUCUUAUGAAACCAGCUCCCCUUCUAGUGUCUAUCUCUACUGGUACCGUCAGUACCCGAACCGAGCCCCGCAGUACAUCCUCCGGAGAGGAGCAAAAGGAAGCACGUUCAUUGAUACUGCAGGUUUCGCCCAGGAGAGGUUUUCUUCCCAGACUGAUGACAGCUCCACAGUUCUGAACAUCACAGCCCUGGAGCUGGCGGACACAGCGGUGUAUCACUGCGCCCUGCAGCGGGCACAGUGACAGAGCCUCGCAGCAGAACUGCACAAAAACCCUCCCCUUCCCUUCA
This is a non-coding RNA of Chelonoidis abingdonii (Abingdon island giant tortoise), 553 nucleotides long. NCBI's taxonomy places the organism in Eukaryota, Metazoa, Chordata, Testudines, Testudinidae. The record is from the annotation of a RefSeq genome assembly.